UUGAUGCUGAAUUGUCACCUUCUGUGCUGGCGGGCCAUCCUGGUUUGCACGUGCACGUCUGUGGCUUUCAUUUCAUCCUCUACCACCCUUGUGAACCAUUGGCCUCAGCUAGCUUCGGCUGGCGGAGGAUUUUCUUACACACGCAUGAAUGGAAUGAGAACAUCUUGUUGUGCACAAGCACUACAUAUCUAACAACUUUCAACAACGGAUCUCUUGGCUCUCGCAUCGAUGAAGAACGCAGCGAAAUGCGAUAAGUAAUGUGAAUUGCAGAAUUCAGUGAAUCAUCGAAUCUUUGAACGCACCUUGCACCCUUUGGCAUUCCGAAGGGUAUGCUCGUUUGAGUGUCAUUGUACUCUCACACUCUCUGAUUUCCGAUCGGGGGGCGGUGGACUUGGGUGUUGCUGCUUUGCUGUGGCUCAUCUCAAAUGCAGUAGUGCACCUCUUGGUUGGACAUAGUACAGCGUGAUAAUUAUCUUCGCUGGCUCCUCGCACGAGGGUGUCUGAUCGGGGGCUCUGUGCUUCCAACUGUCCUUGGUUUGGACACACUCUGACAA
RNAcentral lists this small RNA (554 nucleotides) under uncultured Sebacina. RNAcentral's name for it is "eukaryotic LSU rRNA". The stretch from base 194 to 347 matches the Rfam family "5.8S ribosomal RNA". The record is from RNAcentral. Lineage: Eukaryota; Fungi; Basidiomycota; Agaricomycetes; Sebacinales; Sebacinaceae.